UGUUACCUCUAGAGCUGCCCAUGAGCUGAUAGAGGAUCACAGCCUCCUCUCGUGGGUCCUGCACGGCUUAGAGAAAAGGUUUCUGGAGAACCAGGUGAUAAAUAAAAUGAUUUCCUUACUCCA
Long non-coding RNA from Vidua macroura (Pin-tailed whydah), 123 nucleotides. RefSeq lists it as uncharacterized. Lineage: Eukaryota; Metazoa; Chordata; Aves; Passeriformes; Viduidae. The record is from RefSeq and is a predicted model, not a curated record. The transcript has 2 exons.